CUGUAACAAAUACCCCCCAAAAAAGAGCUCAAAUUGGUAGAAAUUUUUUUCCAUUAUUCCCACAGGGCAUGUCUUUACAUUUGGUCAUACUGUGGGCGAGUGUGGUUUUCUGGAACUCGGUAGAACACAUUUUGGAAUUUUCCAAUCAGAAGGAUUGGAAGCAUGUCUUCAAGGCUACUCACCUCACUCAUUUGAGGAUCCACCUCCCAGAUGGUGACUGCCUGCCCCUCCAGACUGCACGUGUGCACAGGCAGCUGGGGUCUUGGGCGUGUUAUCCUAAAGGCAGGCCCUGUGAUUGCCAAAGCCCUACAGGAAAGGAAUGGGAUGGUGCUCAUGUACAAAGCCUCCAUUGAACUAAGGGGCCUGAAGUUGCAGAUGGCGGUUUCAGCUUGCAUUCCCAGGAGCGCCAACAGUGAAAAUGAAGAGUUUCUGAGAAACAUGGCCAUUGCUCCAUAGCAGGAGACCACACUGGGAAUGACCAUGGGCUUGAGCUGUGUGCGCGCCCAUGCAUGUGCGUGUUUGAAAAUGAAGUCAAUGUUGGGUGCCCAGUAUUUCUCUUCAAUUCUUAUCCCCUAAACAAGGCUGGAUAAGGGAUUGGUUUCGGCUUCAGUGAACAACAGGAAGAAGAAUUUGACUGUAAUAACUCAGGACCUGAUGGACAAAAGUCAUACGAGACUCAAAUGUAGACUCCAACGUCCUUGCUCAUCAGCUUCCCCAGUGCUCUGCUUUCAUCUGACAUUUUUCAAGUAAAAAGAAAUGUGUCCCUUCUUUGUUCA
This is a non-coding RNA of Ictidomys tridecemlineatus (thirteen-lined ground squirrel), 776 nucleotides long. Lineage: Eukaryota; Metazoa; Chordata; Mammalia; Rodentia; Sciuridae. The record is from RefSeq and is a predicted model, not a curated record.